CCUACGGGUGGCAGCAGUGGGGAAUAUUGGGCAAUGGGCGAAAGCCUGACCCAGCAACGCCGCGUGAAGGAAGAAGGCUUUCGGGUUGUAAACUUCUUUUGACAGGGAAGAGCAGAGGACGGUACCUGGCGAAUAAGCCACGGCUAACUACGUGCCAGCAGCCGCGGUAAUACGUAGGUGGCAAGCGUUGUCCGGAUUUACUGGGUGUAAAGGGCGUGUAGCCGGGCUGACAAGUCAGAUGUGAAAUCCGGGGGCUCAACCCCCGAACUGCAUUUGAAACUGUUGGUCUUGAGUAUCGGAGAGGCAGGCGGAAUUCCUAGUGUAGCGGUGAAAUGCGUAGAUAUUAGGAGGAACACCAGUGGCGAAGGCGGCUCUCUGGACUGUAACUGACACUGAGGCACGAAAGCGUGGGGAGCAAACAGGAUUAGAUACCCGGGUAGUC
RNAcentral lists this ribosomal RNA (442 nucleotides) under uncultured bacterium. RNAcentral describes it as "partial 16S ribosomal RNA". It matches the Rfam family "Bacterial small subunit ribosomal RNA", at positions 338 to 795 of the family's 1533-position model. The record is from RNAcentral.